Molecule: RNA transcript, 2924 nt
Organism: Solanum pennellii
Lineage: Eukaryota; Viridiplantae; Streptophyta; Magnoliopsida; Solanales; Solanaceae
Gene name: phosphomethylpyrimidine synthase, chloroplastic
Exons: 7
Source: RefSeq, a predicted model, not a curated record
GGAGUGAAAAAAAUAUCCCUAUAAAUUAAGCACAACCAGGAGAUAUUGGCAAUAUCGUCACUCAUAUUUUUCUCCCUCUUUUCAUCAUUUACAGCUCUAAUUCAUUUGCUUCAGACGUUGAUAGACAGAUGGCGUCUGUCCAAACUGCUUUGACAUCACUCCUAUGCAAGAAAGGGAACAAUAAUCCACAAGUAAAUGUUCCAAGAAGUUCCUUCUUGCCAGGGUUUGAUUUGACAGGGCAAGUUGCAGUUACGGGGAGAAGGGAAACGCGUUUCAAUUCUUUUUCAAGCCCGAGAGCAACACUUACCUUUGAUCCUCCCAGUACUGAUAAUAAAGAGAAGACAAAGCCAAAGCACACUGUUGAUCCUAAUGCUCCUGAUUUCCUGCCCCUUCCACCAUUCGAACAAUGCUUUCCGAAAAGCUCCAAGGAAUACAGUGAAGUUAUGCAUGAAGAAACUGGUCAUGUACUCAAAGUCCCAUUUCGACGUAUUCAUCUUUCCGGGGAUGAACCACAUUUUGACACUUAUGAUACCAGUGGUCCUCAGGGUGUUAACCCGCGUGUUGGACUUCCCAAGCUGCGCACGGAGUGGAUUAACAGGAGGGAGAAGUUAGGAGGACCAAGGUAUACUCAAAUGUUCUAUGCUAAGCAGGGAAUCAUAACUGAGGAAAUGGUGUACUGUGCUGCUCGUGAAAAGAUGGAUCCGGAAUUUGUGAGGUCAGAAGUUGCUCGGGGCCGUGCAAUCAUCCCUUCAAACAAGAAGCACCCUGAGUUGGAGCCAAUGAUAGUAGGAAGAAAGUUCUUAGUGAAAGUCAAUGCCAACAUCGGGAACUCUGCUGUUGUAAGCUCGAUUGAAGAAGAAGUUCAUAAGCUUCAAUGGGCAACAAUGUGGGGUGCAGAUACGAUCAUGGAUCUCUCCACUGGUCGUCACAUCCACGAGACUCGUGAGUGGAUCUUGCGUAAUUCUGCUGUACCAGUAGGCACUGUGCCAAUUUACCAAGCACUAGAAAAAGUAAACGGGAUUGCUGAGAAUCUUAGCUGGGAAGUGUUUAGAGAGACCUUAAUUGAACAAGCUGAGCAAGGAGUUGAUUACUUCACAAUCCAUGCCGGAGUCCUUCUCAGGUACAUCCCACUGACAGCAAAACGGAUGACCGGAAUUGUUUCUCGUGGAGGCUCAAUUCAUGCAAAGUGGUGCUUAGCUUAUCACAAGGAGAAUUUCGCUUAUGAACAUUGGGAUGACAUACUUGACAUCUGUAAUCAGUACGAUAUAUCGUUAUCAAUUGGUGAUGGACUGAGACCUGGUUCAAUUUAUGAUGCAAAUGACACCGCUCAGUUUGCUGAGCUCUUGACUCAAGGGGAGCUGACUCGCCGAGCUUGGGAAAAGGAUGUACAGGUUAUGAAUGAAGGACCUGGACACGUACCAAUGCAUAAGAUUCCCGAGAACAUGCAGAAACAGCUAGAGUGGUGUAAUGAAGCACCAUUCUACACUCUUGGACCAUUGACAACUGAUAUAGCUCCCGGAUAUGAUCAUAUCACCUCAGCUAUCGGUGCAGCCAAUAUAGGAGCACUCGGGACUGCACUUCUGUGUUACGUCACUCCAAAAGAGCAUCUUGGUCUUCCUAAUCGCGAUGACGUGAAGACAGGUGUAAUAUCAUAUAAGAUAGCUGCUCAUGCAGCUGAUCUUGCAAAAGGUCACCCGCUAUCUCAAGCUUGGGAUGACGCACUUAGCAAGGCAAGAUUUGAGUUCAGAUGGAUGGACCAAUUCGCUUUGUCAUUGGACCCCGUUACUGCAAUGUCCUUUCACGACGAAACUUUACCAGCCGAUGGGGCUAAAGUGGCACAUUUCUGCUCGAUGUGCGGUCCUAAGUUUUGCUCCAUGAAAAUAACCGAAGAUAUAAGGAAGUAUGCUGAAAAUCAUGGUUAUGGAAAUGCAGAGGAAGCCAUUCAGCAGGGCAUGGAUGCUAUGAGUGCAGCGUUUCAAGCUGCAAAAAAAACCAUUAGUGGGGAACAACACGGUGAGGUUGGCGGUGAGAUCUACUUGCCAGAAAAUUACAUCAACUCUUUGAAGAGCCAAACGAAUGUGUAAAGAUCGAAACUGGCUCACAGAUUUCUGAAGUGAUCACAACUCCAUCGGCCAGUCAAGGAGGCGGUAGUAGGAGCCUCAUUAUCAAGUAUUAGCUUCAAAUGCUGACUGAUCAGGCUGAGAAAGUCCCUUUGAACCUGAACGGGAUAAUUCCUGCGUAGGGAGUGUGCAAUUUUUUUUUUCUUGCUUGCACAGGGAUGGCGAUUCUCCGAAAUGGUUGAAAAUUCAAAAUUAAUCUGAUCCUGCUCUUUGCCAGGACCAGUUUAUUCACCGUCUAUUCAAGACACCAUCUUGUAUUGUUUGUUUUUUUGGUGUCCUGACUAAAUACAGAUUCCCGCACUCUGUACAUAACGGAGCUCGAAUUCGACACCUUUGAUUGGUAGUAAAGGGGUAUUUAUCACUCCAUCACGACCCUUGUUGGUAAGGCAUUGUCGUGUAUGCCUCUGAGACGCGAUUGGUUACUUACAAUUGACCAAUUUUCUCAUGGUUACUCUAGCUUUGGUUGGACUAUUGAACAUUCAGUAAUAUGAAUGACUCAAUUGCAUAUAUACCUUCAUAUUUUAAAAUCAAUAUUACGAAUUUAAGAUCUAGAGUCGAUAAGUUUAGGGUAAGUAUGUCGUAUUAUAUGUAUAUAAUUAAUUUUUAUCCAUGUUCAUAUACAUAUCUCGAGCUGAAAACAUUUAUAUACCCCUUAUAUACAUUGAAAGGAAGUAGCAUAUGUAAUUACUAAAGGUGAAUUCAGGAUCUAGAGUCGAUGGUUUCAGGAUUAGUAUACUAAUUAAUCUUGUAGCAAUACAGGGCAGAGUUAGAGAUUAAGGUAUGGAUUUGGUCGAAUUUCGUAAA